GAUCAUGGCUCAGGAUGAACGCUAGCUACAGGCUUAACACAUGCAAGUCGAGGGGAAACGACAUCGAAAGCUUGCUUUUGAUGGGCGUCGACCGGCGCACGGGUGAGUAACGCGUAUCCAACCUGCCCACCACUUUGGGGAUAACCUUGCGAAAGUAAGACUAAUACCCAAUGACAUCCCACGAAGACAUCUGAAUGGGAUUAAAGAUUUAUCGGUGAUGGAUGGGGAUGCGGUCUGAUUAG
Molecule: ribosomal RNA, 242 nt
Filed under: uncultured bacterium
Lineage: Bacteria
Description: partial 16S ribosomal RNA
Rfam family: Bacterial small subunit ribosomal RNA
Source: RNAcentral